This 1195-nucleotide long non-coding RNA is filed under the name Nicotiana benthamiana. RNAcentral describes it as "long non-coding RNA (NBEN_LNC039965)". The record is from RNAcentral. Lineage: Eukaryota; Viridiplantae; Streptophyta; Magnoliopsida; Solanales; Solanaceae.
AGCUCUCUGCUAGCAGCAACAUUUGUUGGUCAUCCUCCUCUUGAAGAUAUAUUGGAAUUUCAAUCAUCUUAAUCACACCUUUUAUUUUUUAUUCUUAAUUGCUCAUCUUUUUAAUCAUUGUUACUGUAUCAAAUCAGAUUCACUUUAUCUUUUCUUCUAUAAACUGUGUACCAAUGGGUCGAUGUGGAUUAACAAAUGGCGCUUGAGUUCGAGUUCUUUACAGUGAGCAUUAUUCACUUGUGUCAAAGCUUUUCAGUAUGGUUUCCAUAUUUUGAUCUAUGUUACUGUAUCCAUAUUUUGUGUCAAAUGCUUCAAUGGGGUGUGAUGAACCCUAGGUUUUCUCGGAGGAAGAUGAAGGGGAAGAGUUACGAUUGAAAAUUAAGUAACGCUGGUGUAUAAAGAAAUGGGGUCGGGGAGGGUUAGAAAAGUGGGUCGGGCGGGUUUAAAAAAUAGAAUGGGUGGGCUAAUCUGGUCCAAUCUUGAACAGUGGGUCGGGCGGGUUUAAAAAAUAGAAUGGAUGGGUAAUCUGAUCCAAUCGUUGGCUGCCACGUGUUAAAAAAUUAUGUGGAAACAAGUUUUAAUGGCUGAGGGAUAUAUAUGGCCCUAAUGUAUAACGGUGGGGAUAUAUUUGUUGAAGAAUUCAAACGGAGGAUAAAUAUGGCCUAUUUUGAAUAGUACAAGGAUAUAUUUUACCCUUAACCGUAUAUUUUUUUACUUGUCUGUGUUCCAGCUAUGUUGGUAUUAAUUUAUCUAUUUAUGUUGUUUUCCACCCGUAUUUCUCUUUAUUAUUUCUACUGAUUGUAGUUUGUUCUUUCCCUGCUGUUGGUAUUACUAUGUUAUUUUUUUAUUCAUAGUUUAUUAUCAAAUCUUGUUCAAUUUAUUGGAUCAGUAGGUGUCCGGACUGUUCCUCGUCAUUACCCCAUUGAAGUUAGUCUUGAUACUUACUGGCAUCGCCGUGGUGUGCUCAUACUACACUUCUGUGCAUUUUUUUGUACAAAUACAAGUAUUUGAUCGGUAGUAGCUGUGCAGGUUAUUGCGGUGGAGACUCAAGGUAAACCUGCUACAACGUUCGCAGGCUUCGGAGUUACCUUCAGUUGUAUUUAUUUCUAUUUGUUCCUUUUAUUUUGGAGCAACAGUGUAUUUAUUUUGCAUAACUACUCUUAUAAAGGCUUGUGACUUGUAUCACCGAUUUUGG